RNAcentral lists this unclassified non-coding RNA (413 nucleotides) under soil metagenome. RNAcentral describes it as "partial contains 5.8S ribosomal RNA, internal transcribed spacer 2, and large subunit ribosomal RNA". The stretch from base 1 to 122 matches the Rfam family "5.8S ribosomal RNA", at positions 35 to 154 of the family's 154-position model. The record is from RNAcentral.
GAUGAAGAACGUAGUGAAAUGCGAUACUUGGUGUGAAUUGCAGAAUCCCGUGAACCAUCGAGUCUUUGAACGCAAGUUGCGCCCGAAGCCGUCAGGCCGAGGGCACGCCUGCCUGGGCGUCACACGCCGUUGCCCCCCCCGCGCCCCGCACCCAACUCUUUGGGAGCGACCGCGGGGCGGGCUGAUGAUGGCCUCCCGUGCGCUCCGCCGCGCGGUUGGCCCAAAUACCGAGUCCCCGGCGACGUGCGCCACGACCAUCGGUGGUUGAGAGACCUCUGUCGCAAGUCGUGCGCGCCCGUCGCGUCACGCGGGCUCGCAUAGCGCCUCGCGCCGCACCCGGUGCGGAGCUUUCAACGCGACCCCAGGUCAGGCGGGGUUACCCGCUGAAUUUAAGCAUAUCAAUAAGCGGAGGA